UCAUCUUCGGGGGUAGAGCACUGUUUCGGCUAGGGGGUCAUCCCGACUUACCAACCCGAUGCAAACUACGAAUACCGAAGAAUGUUAUCACGGGAGACACACGGCGGGUGCUAACGUCCGUCGUGAAGAGGGAAACAACCCAGACCGCCAGCUAAGGUCCCAAAGUCAUGGUUAAGUGGGAAACGAUGUGGGAAGGCACAGACAGCCAGGAUGUUGGCUUAGAAGCAGCCAUCAUUUAAAGAAAGCGUAAUAGCUCACUGGUCGAGUCGGCCUGCGCGGAAGAUGUAACGGGGCUAAACCAUGCACCGAAGCUGCGGCAGCGACACUAUGUGUUGUUGGGUAGGGGAGCGUUCUGUAAGCCUGCGAAGGUGUGCUGUGAGGCAUGCUGGAGGUAUCAGAAGUGCGAAUGCUGACAUAAGUAACGAUAAAGCGGGUGAAAAGCCCGCUCGCCGGAAGACCAAGGGUUCCUGUCCAACGUUAAUCGGGGCAGGGUGAGUCGACCCCUAAGGCGAGGCCGAAAGGCGUAGUCGAUGGGAAACAGGUUAAUAUUCCUGUACUUGGUGUUACUGCGAAGGGGGGACGGAGAAGGCUAUGUUAGCCGGGCGACGGUUGUCCCGGUUUAAGCAUGUAGGCUGGUUAUCCAGGCAAAUCCGGAUAAUCAAGGCUGAGGUGUGAUGACGAGGCACUACGGUGCUGAAGUAACAAAUGCCCUGCUUCCAGGAAAAGCCUCUAAGCAUCAGGUAACAUCAAAUCGUACCCCAAACCGACACAGGUGGUCAGGUAGAGAAUACCAAGGCGCUUGAGAGAACUCGGGUGAAGGAACUAGGCAAAAUGGUGCCGUAACUUCGGGAGAAGGCACGCUGGUGUGUAGGUGAAGNUGGAGCUGAGACCAGUCGAAGAUACCAGCUGGCUGCAACUGUUUAUUAAAAACACAGCACUGUGCAAACACGAAAGUGGACGUAUACGGUGUGACGCCUGCCCGGUGCCGGAAGGUUAAUUGAUGGGGUUAUCCGUAAGGAGAAGCUCUUGAUCGAAGCCCCGGUAAACGGCGGCCGUAACUAUAACGGUCCUAAGGUAGCGAAAUUCCUUGUCGGGUAAGUUCCGACCUGCACGAAUGGCGUAAUGAUGGCCAGGCUGUCUCCACCCGAGACUCAGUGAAAUUGAACUCGCUGUGAAGAUGCAGUGUACCCGCGGCAAGACGGAAAGACCCCGUGAACCUUUACUAUAGCUUGACACUGAACAUUGAGCCUUGAUGUGUAGGAUAGGUGGGAGGCUUUGAAGCGUGGACGCCAGUCUGCGUGGAGCCAACCUUGAAAUACCACCCUUUAAUGUUUGAUGUUCUAACGUUGGCCCCUGACCGGGGUUGCGGACAGUGUCUGGUGGGUAGUUUGACUGGGGCGGUCUCCUCCCAAAGCGUAACGGAGGAGCACGAAGGUUAGCUAAUCCUGGUCGGACAUCAGGAGGUUAGUGCAAUGGCAUAAGCUAGCUUGACUGCGAGCGUGACGGCGCGAGCAGGUGCGAAAGCAGGUCAUAGUGAUCCGGUGGUUCUGAAUGGAAGGGCCAUCGCUCAACGGAUAAAAGGUACUCCGGGGAUAACAGGCUGAUACCGCCCAAGAGUUCAUAUCGACGGCGGUGUUUGGCACCUCGAUGUCGGCUCAUCACAUCCUGGGGCUGAAGUAGGUCCCAAGGGUAUGGCUGUUCGCCAUUUAAAGUGGUACGCGAGCUGGGUUUAGAACGUCGUGAGACAGUUCGGUCCCUAUCUGCCGUGGGCGCUGGAGAAUUGAGGGGGGCUGCUCCUAGUACGAGAGGACCGGAGUGGACGCAUCACUGGUGUUCGGGUUGUCAUGCCAAUGGCACUGCCCGGUAGCUAAAUGCGGAAGAGAUAAGUGCUGAAAGCAUCUAAGCACGAAACUUGCCCCGAGAUGAGUUCUCCCUGAGACUUUAAGUCUCCUGAAGGAACGUUAAAGACGAUGACGUUGAUAGGCCGGGUGUGUAAGCGCAGCGAUGCGUUGAGCUAACCGGUACUAAUGAACCGUGAGGCUUAACCUU
This 2049-nucleotide ribosomal RNA is filed under the name Klebsiella pneumoniae. RNAcentral's name for it is "23S ribosomal RNA". It matches the Rfam family "Bacterial large subunit ribosomal RNA", at positions 890 to 2925 of the family's 2925-position model. The record is from RNAcentral. Lineage: Bacteria; Pseudomonadati; Pseudomonadota; Gammaproteobacteria; Enterobacterales; Enterobacteriaceae.